RNAcentral lists this ribosomal RNA (306 nucleotides) under uncultured bacterium. RNAcentral's name for it is "bacterial SSU rRNA". It matches the Rfam family "Bacterial small subunit ribosomal RNA", at positions 28 to 334 of the family's 1533-position model. The record is from RNAcentral.
GAUGAACGCUAGCGGGAGGCUUAACACAUGCAAGCCGAGGGGUAUAUAAUUGCUUGCAAUUAUAGAGACCGGCGGAUGGGUGAGUAACGCGUAUGAAACCUACCCUAUUCAUCAGGAUAGCCCUAGGAAACUGGGAUUAAUACUGAAUAACACUAUUAUCGGCAUCGUUAUUAGUUAAAAGAUUUAUCGGAAUAGGGUGGUCAUGCGUCAGAUUAGUUAGUUGGUAGGGUAACGGCCUACCAAGGCAAUGAUCUGUAGGGGGCCUGAGAGGGUGAUCCCCCACACUGGUACUGAGACACGGACCAG